CUACUCGCUUCGGCAGUACAUAUACUAAAAUUGGAACGAUACAGAGAAGAUUAGCAUUGCCCCUGCACAAGGAUGACACGCAAAAUCGUGAAGCGUUCCACAUUUUU
This 107-nucleotide small nuclear RNA is filed under the name Schistocerca americana (American grasshopper). Lineage: Eukaryota; Metazoa; Arthropoda; Insecta; Orthoptera; Acrididae. The record is from RNAcentral.